RNAcentral lists this transfer RNA (105 nucleotides) under Xylaria grammica. RNAcentral describes it as "tRNA-Arg". It matches the Rfam family "tRNA". Rfam says of the family: Transfer RNA (tRNA) molecules are approximately 80 nucleotides in length. Lineage: Eukaryota; Fungi; Ascomycota; Sordariomycetes; Xylariales; Xylariaceae. The record is from RNAcentral. RNAcentral also lists the same sequence under 1 other name.
GGCCUCGUGGCCCAAUGGCAAGGCGUCUGACUACGAUCGAAAUCAUCUCAAAAGAUGAGUUCAUCAGGAAUCAGGAGAUUCUGGGUUCGACCCCCAGCGAGGUCA